GACGAACGCUGGCGGCGUGCCUAAUGCAUGCAAGUCGCACGCGGUGCCUUCGGGCACUGAGUGGCGAACGGCUGAGGAACACGUGGGGACCUGUCCGGGAGUGGGGGACAACACCGCGAAAGCGGUGCUAAUCCCGCAUACGCUCUGAGGAGGAAAGCCGAAAGGCGCUCCCGGGUGGCCCUGCGGCCCAUCAGGUUGUUGGUGGGGUAACGGCCUACCAAGCCAAUGACGGGUCGCUGGUCUGUGAGGACGACCAGCCAGACUGGGACUGGGACCCGGCCCAGACUCCUACGGGAGGCAGCAGCAAGGAAUCUUCGGCAAUGGGCGCAAGCCUGACCGAGCAACGCCGCGUGCAGGAUGACGGCCUUCGGGUUGUAAACUGCUUUUGCUAGGGAUGAUACGGACAGUACCUGGCGAAUAAGCCCCGGCUAACUCUGUGCCAGCAGCCGCCGUAA
Molecule: ribosomal RNA, 455 nt
Filed under: uncultured bacterium
Lineage: Bacteria
Description: partial 16S ribosomal RNA
Rfam family: Bacterial small subunit ribosomal RNA
Source: RNAcentral